UACAGAGAGUGCAAGCGUUAAUCGGAAUUACUGGGCGUAAAGCGUGCGUAGGUGGAUACUUAAGUCGAAUGUGAAAGCCCCGGGCUCAACCUGGGAACUGCAUCCGAUACUGGGUAUCUAGAGUAUGGUAGAGGGAAGUGGAAUUUCCGGUGUAGCGGUGAAAUGCGUAGAUAUCGGAAAGAACACCAGUGGCGAAAGCGGCUUCCUGGACUAAUACUGACACUAAGGCACGAAAGCGUGGGGAGCAAACAGG
Molecule: ribosomal RNA, 253 nt
Filed under: uncultured bacterium
Lineage: Bacteria
Description: partial 16S ribosomal RNA
Rfam family: Bacterial small subunit ribosomal RNA
Source: RNAcentral